AGAUUGAACGCUGGCGGCAGGCCUAACACAUGCAAGUCGAGCGGCAGCACGGGUACUUGUACCUGGUGGCGAGCGGCGGACGGGUGAGUAAUGCCUAGGAAUCUGCCUGGUAGUGGGGGAUAACGCUCGGAAACGGACGCUAAUACCGCAUACGUCCUACGGGAGAAAGCAGGGGACCUUCGGGCCUUGCGCUAUCAGAUGAGCCUAGGUCGGAUUAGCUAGUUGGUGAGGUAAUGGCUCACCGAAGGCGACGAUCCGUAACUGGUCUGAGAGGAUGAUCAGUCACACUGGAACUGAGACACGGUCC
RNAcentral lists this ribosomal RNA (307 nucleotides) under uncultured soil bacterium. RNAcentral describes it as "bacterial SSU rRNA". It matches the Rfam family "Bacterial small subunit ribosomal RNA", at positions 26 to 332 of the family's 1533-position model. The record is from RNAcentral.